UGGAUCGAUGAUGAGUCCCCCCAAAAAAACAUUCCUUGGAAAAGCUGAACAAAAUGAGUGAAAACUCAUACCGUCGUUCUCAGCGGAACUGAGGUCCA
RNAcentral lists this small nucleolar RNA (98 nucleotides) under Homo sapiens (human). Its description in RNAcentral is "small nucleolar RNA, C/D box 116-4 (SNORD116-4)". It matches the Rfam family "Small nucleolar RNA SNORD116". Rfam says of the family: HBII-85 is a member of the C/D class of snoRNAs, which contain the C (UGAUGA) and D (CUGA) box motifs. HBII-85 is encoded in a tandemly repeated array with another C/D snoRNA, HBII-52, in the Prader-Willi syndrome (PWS) region of chromosome 15. Lineage: Eukaryota; Metazoa; Chordata; Mammalia; Primates; Hominidae. The record is from RNAcentral.